This 220-nucleotide ribosomal RNA is filed under the name uncultured bacterium. Its description in RNAcentral is "partial 16S ribosomal RNA". It matches the Rfam family "Bacterial small subunit ribosomal RNA", at positions 111 to 334 of the family's 1533-position model. The record is from RNAcentral.
UAAUGUCUGGGAAACGUGCCUGAUGGAGGGGGAUAACUACUGGAAACGGUAGCUAUACCGCAUAAUGUCGCAAGACCAAAGUGGGGGACCUUCGGGCCUCAUGCCAUCAGAUGUGCCCAGAUGGGAUUAGCUAGUAGGUGGGGUAACGGCUCACCUAGGCGACGAUCCCUAGCUGGUCUGAGAGGAUGACCAGCCACACUGGAACUGAGACACGGUCCAG